RNAcentral lists this non-coding RNA (192 nucleotides) under Thiopseudomonas alkaliphila. Lineage: Bacteria; Pseudomonadati; Pseudomonadota; Gammaproteobacteria; Pseudomonadales; Pseudomonadaceae. The record is from RNAcentral.
CAGAAUUUUUGUUUACAAGGUGAAGAUCAGUUAGUAGCGAUCUUCUUAAAAGGGAAGUGAAGCCCAAACUCACGCUGCCCCCGCAACGGUAAAUAACCCUAAGGCGCCUCAAAACCACUGGCUAAUGCAUAGCUGGGAAGGGAGGACACCGCCUGUUAUAGCCCGGAGACCUGCCUUGUAGCCGUUGAUAGA